Molecule: ribosomal RNA, 253 nt
Filed under: uncultured bacterium
Lineage: Bacteria
Description: partial 16S ribosomal RNA
Rfam family: Bacterial small subunit ribosomal RNA
Source: RNAcentral
GACGAACCGUACGAGCGUUGUCCGGAAUUAUAGGGCGUAAAGAGCUCGUAGGCGGUUUGUCGCGUCUGCCGUGAAAGUCCGGGGCUCAACUCCGGAUCUGCGGUGGGUACGGGCAGACUAGAGUGAUGUAGGGGGGACUGGAAUUCCUGGUGUAGCGGUGAAAUGCGCAGAUAUCAGGAGGAACACCGAUGGCGAAGGCAGGUCUCUGGGCAUUAACUGACGCUGAGGAGCGAAAGCAUGGGGAGCGAACAGG